GUGUGUCAGUGAGGAAGGUAAAUCCCAUCCCACCAGAAGGUGAUGCCAACAAGAAUGCUGAUUCCACCUGAGAAAAGCAAAUUGCUCUUCUGGAUAGAACUGGAGAUUCCAAAAGGGCCAUUCCUGAGCUCCAGGAUGACACAUCAAGAAAAGAACAGCAGUGCAGGUGAGAUUGCCGUAAGCACCGUGGAGUGAGCUGCUGUUGUCUGGCCCUGCUUGUUGCCUCAGGAAAGUCUGUGGAAAAACGCUGCCUGUACACUUGCAGCUAUAACACGAGACAACUGCAGCACUUUUUGGCUGGGCUUGCUGUUCUUCAUUCCUCGGCAGGGUGCUUUGCAUGGAGCUGUUGAUACACACACUUAAGGCAGAAAAAGGCCAAUUCACGACAUACUUGUGGCUGUUCAGAGGCAUUUGAUGUGGUUCAGUGAAGACACAGCUAAUUUAUGAAGCCCAAGUGCCGAUCAUGUCCAAGCAAGUGCAGUGUGUGCCUGCUAGAGCCUCACACCUCGCCUGUGCAA
Long non-coding RNA from Hirundo rustica (Barn swallow), 518 nucleotides. RefSeq lists it as uncharacterized. NCBI's taxonomy places the organism in Eukaryota, Metazoa, Chordata, Aves, Passeriformes, Hirundinidae. The transcript has 3 exons. The record is from RefSeq and is a predicted model, not a curated record.